CCUACUUGAAGGGCAGACACCCAGAGCCUGGGCAAAGAAUGAACAGCAAAACUCCCACUAGGGUCCGCUUGGAGAAUGGAACUUUGGCUGUUCAAACCCUUGGUUUUCGUGCCUGAAGUAGAGGUCUGAGGAGGUAGUCAGAUGUAUUUCCCAGGAAGCAGCUGCACACAGUCAUCAUGUGCUUGAGACACUGGACAAGUGAGCAUCGACGUGAGCAGACGUCUGGGAAGCACAGUGAAGAGAGAUGCUUCUGCUGAUGCAUUUGAAGUCUGAGCUGUAUUCAGGAUACCGUAAAAGGAAAUGGUUCUUCCUGACUGCAAAGUGCUUACAGCGGCUCAGGAGACACUCAGCUGAAAGGGCAAAAUACCUCUCUCCAUCUCUGUCUCUACCUCUCUGUGUCUGCCUCUCCCUCUCUUUUCUCUGUCCCUCUCUAUGUGUCUGUCUCUACCUCUCUCUGCUUUUCCCUUUAUUUCUGUCUCUGUCUCUCUCUACACACACAACAAGCAUCUUUUGGUUUAAGAAUCUCCUCUGUCUCUCUCUGUCUCUCUCUACACACACACACACACACGUAUGUGUAUAAGUAUGUAGAGGAAGGUUGAGAAGAGAGGGAGGGAGAAGGUUGAAAGGGAAGGAAGGGAGAGGAGGAAAAGGAAGAUUCUUAAACAAAAAUUAAACUUUUCUGAUACUUUUUCAUAUCAUGAUUCUCACAUUCCUUCAUUCAACAAACAAUUCUUAUGCAUCCCCAUCUAGGAGUAAAGGAGGAGUGAGACAGAUACAAAAAAUAAAUAACUUCCCUGUCCUCAAGGAUCUGACAAUGGUCCUGCAACAUCCUUCAAUCCAGGACCUUGAAACACUUUGCAAGUGGUCAAUCCAUCUCAAGGCAUCCUUCAUAUCUCCCCAAGAUGGAGGGUGAGACUUAAAAGGUUUAUCACACAGUAAUCCGUGAAUUAGAGCUAAGCCCAGACUACAGGAUGCAUUCCCUAAUAAGUAUUAAGUUCUGCUUUGCUUUCUUGAAAAAGAAUUUUUCUAAUUUCUAUCUUUUGUUUUCACAUCACCAUCAUUUCUGAAUGUAUCCCUCCCGUGCUCCCCUAACCAGCAAGCCAUGUCUUGUGACAAUGAAAAAUAAAGAGGGGAAGAAAGCAGUUUAGCAAAACUAACCAACACAUCCAAUGAA
This is a long non-coding RNA of Dromiciops gliroides (monito del monte), 1174 nucleotides long. RefSeq lists it as uncharacterized. The transcript has 3 exons. The record is from RefSeq and is a predicted model, not a curated record. Lineage: Eukaryota; Metazoa; Chordata; Mammalia; Microbiotheria; Microbiotheriidae.